This 253-nucleotide ribosomal RNA is filed under the name uncultured bacterium. Its description in RNAcentral is "partial 16S ribosomal RNA". It matches the Rfam family "Bacterial small subunit ribosomal RNA", at positions 524 to 776 of the family's 1533-position model. The record is from RNAcentral.
UACGAAGGGGGCUAGCGUUGUUCGGAUUUACUGGGCGUAAAGCGCACGUAGGCGGAUCGAUCAGUCAGGGGUGAAAUCCCAGAGCUCAACUCUGGAACUGCCUUUGAUACUGUCGAUCUGGAGUAUGGAAGAGGUGAGUGGAAUUCCGAGUGUAGAGGUGAAAUUCGUAGAUAUUCGGAGGAACACCAGUGGCGAAGGCGGCUCACUGGUCCAUUACUGACGCUGAGACGCGAAAGCGUGGGGAGCAAACAGG